UAUACUCAAUGGUCUUGAGAAC
Molecule: non-coding RNA, 22 nt
Filed under: Rattus norvegicus (Norway rat)
Lineage: Eukaryota; Metazoa; Chordata; Mammalia; Rodentia; Muridae
Source: RNAcentral